AAGAGAGCGAUGAUUAUAAAAAACAAGAUUAAAAUUCUGAUCUGCUCUAUUACUGGGCAUGAUAGACUCAUAUACACCCAUAGAAUAUGAGCUCUC
Small nucleolar RNA from Arabidopsis lyrata subsp. lyrata, 96 nucleotides. It matches the Rfam family "Small nucleolar RNA snoR8a". NCBI's taxonomy places the organism in Eukaryota, Viridiplantae, Streptophyta, Magnoliopsida, Brassicales, Brassicaceae. The record is from Rfam.